This 387-nucleotide ribosomal RNA is filed under the name Vibrio parahaemolyticus. RNAcentral's name for it is "bacterial LSU rRNA". It matches the Rfam family "Bacterial large subunit ribosomal RNA", at positions 2193 to 2579 of the family's 2925-position model. The record is from RNAcentral. Lineage: Bacteria; Pseudomonadati; Pseudomonadota; Gammaproteobacteria; Vibrionales; Vibrionaceae.
UGAAAAACCACCCUUGUAUUGUUGGUGUUGUAUCGACGACUCCGGAUCGGGGUUGCUGACAGUGCCUGGUGGGUAGUUUGACUGGGUCGGUCUCCAACCAAAGAGUAACGGAGGAGGACGAAGGUGGGCUAAUCACGGUUGGACAUCGUGAGGUUAGUGCAAUGGCAUAAGCCCGCUUGACUGCGAGAAUGACAAUUCGGGCAGGUGCGAAAGCAGGUCAUAGUGAGCCGGUGUUUCUGAAUGGAAGGGCCAUCGCUCAACGGAUAAAAGGUACUCCGGGAAUAACAGGCUGAUACCGCCCAAGAGUUCAUAUCGGCGGCGGUGUUUGGCACCUCGAUGUCGGCUCAUCACAUCCUGGAGCUGAAGUCGGUCCCAAGGGUAUGGCUG